This 29-nucleotide non-coding RNA is filed under the name Bombyx mori (domestic silkworm). Lineage: Eukaryota; Metazoa; Arthropoda; Insecta; Lepidoptera; Bombycidae. The record is from RNAcentral.
UGACCUGGCGCCGAGUCUUGCUGGAAGGA